Non-coding RNA from Cucurbita pepo subsp. pepo (vegetable marrow), 940 nucleotides. NCBI's taxonomy places the organism in Eukaryota, Viridiplantae, Streptophyta, Magnoliopsida, Cucurbitales, Cucurbitaceae. The record is from RefSeq and is a predicted model, not a curated record.
UAAAGUCAUGAGAGCUUAUGUUCAAAGUGGACAAUGUCAUACCAUUGUGGAAAGUCGUGAUUCCUAACAUGAAUGAUACAUCGACAGCUGAAGUAACCUAUGAGGAUAAUGAGAACUUGGAGGCUGAAGAGUUCUCAGGUUUCAAUUCUGUACAUGCGGGUCGGGUUGGCACAAACGGGUCGGGUUGGGUCAGAAUGCGUCCAGCGGAUUUCGACUUCUUCCUCCCACCUUCUUCCAAAUUCUUCUUCACUCUCAGUACACUAUGUCUUCUUCUCCAUGAGAGCCAACCAACCUCCCUCGACAACAAACUAGAUACGAAGACCUACGAAAUACGUUAGGGUUCUGAGGGGGAAAAACAACGGAGAUCACACCACUAGAAGCUUAGCGUCGGAGUUCUCCCCUUCUCAACCGUUUGAGUCCCAAUGUCAUCGCUCACGAGUGCCUCGAGUUUCGUUGCUCUUCUCUCAAGUUUCGCCUCCUUCCUCUUGCUCAACCUCGCUUCCUGUCAAACGCCCUCUUCUGCCAUUUCCUAUUCUUUUGUCCUUCUUUUCUUUUUCUUUUACUUUUUACUAAGUGUUUUUCUUUUUCUUUUACUUUUUACUAAGUGUUGGGACAACUGGCUCUCUUUUCAUUUAGUGUCAGUUGUACGGUUAUUACAGGUAUUCCUCAUUCUUACAAACGUAGGUAUUAUUUGAGGAGUAUGGAAAAUUUUGGAACUUUGUAGAGAAGCAAACCCGAACCAAAAAGUGUCACGCUUUCCAGGUAAGUGGUACCUCGGAACCUUGGAAUUAGCUAUACUCGUAGUAUGCAUGAAAGUAUGAUAUGAGGAGUAAGUCAUAGAAAUUUGAGCAUGAAAUGAGUUGGUUUGAUGUAUGUAAAAGCACGUUAAAUGUUAUGGUGCACAUUUAUCGAGGAAUGAACUGUUGAGUUACGAUAUGAC